CAUCUUCAUUCUUCCAGGAAUCGAUUCAUUCCUAAGUUUGAAAAGAUGGAACCUUCCAGAUUAAAUAAAAAUAACAGAAAUCAUCUCUGCAGGUGCAAUGGAUUCUGAAAUUGGAUUGGCCUUCCAUGCUAAAACAAGCUUCAUCUGUCUCCCUUCCAGGAGGAGGUAAACCAGGAGAAGGGUAAAUCAAUAUUUCCAGGGCACACAGCCGUAAGAAAGGACACUGCUCACAUCUGACAGCCAUUCCAAGUAGAGGAUGUCCGUAAAGGUGGGAGCCAAGCCUCAGGGCCUUCUUUGCACAAGAAACAUCUCAGGUAGCACAGGGAUGAUCACAACUCUUGCCUGGGGUUUGGGGGAGAAUUUGAAACACCUCAGGAGAACUUAAAGACCCACCAUUUGAAUGUCUGCUCUGUGCCAUCCGUUACACUAGAGCUCUAACACACCAUCUCGUUUAACACCCAACACCCGAAGACUACAUAGGAGAUUCAAUCCUCUCGCUUCACAGAUGAGGAAACUGAGGAUCAGAGAGGCUAGGUCCCAGAACUAGGACUCAAAAGUGGGUGCACUUUUAGGAUAAGUGGUCAUAGUAUUACAGGCACUCAAGACUGUUGGUUCCCUGCCCCUCAGCUCACAGGGCUGCUGUAAGAACCAAUGACUGGGCAUUUCUAAGCAAGAUGAAAACUGUACUUUGUCAAUGCCGGCAGCUUAAAAAGAAAAGUACCUCUAUUUUUUAAGUUGGUGUUUAAAACUAAGAAAAUGUCACAAGUUUUAUAUUCUUGUGUACAGUCCUGUUUGGACUAGGAUUUCAAAAAAAUGUCCACCUGCCGAAAAUAUUGUUACAGCUCUCCAAAAUCAUUCAUUUACAAGCAUGCUCAAAUUUGUUUUUAUGGUAUUGAUGUAGUUUCGAAUGUUCAAUGACAAUCCGCAGAAAGUCAAAAUCGAGUUUUGUGGGGGAAAAAAACAACAGUAAUAGG
This 974-nucleotide long non-coding RNA is filed under the name Felis catus (domestic cat). RNAcentral describes it as "lncRNA (ENSFCAG00000051374.1)". The record is from RNAcentral. Lineage: Eukaryota; Metazoa; Chordata; Mammalia; Carnivora; Felidae.